Molecule: long non-coding RNA, 276 nt
Filed under: Vigna radiata
Lineage: Eukaryota; Viridiplantae; Streptophyta; Magnoliopsida; Fabales; Fabaceae
Description: long non-coding RNA (VRAD_LNC001858)
Source: RNAcentral
GUUUCCAGACCGGAGGAAGAAAGGGAGGGGUUGGUGAGGCGCAUGUGGAGGGCAGCGUCGUUGUCGGUGACAACGUGGGCGUCGCCAAAGAGGUUUGUCAGGGUCGAUCCUCCAUCACCGUGCUCCACUCCUUCCAACUCCUCAAAUGCCUUCGCCGGUGAAAAACCUUCCUCCAUCGGAGACCUAAUUUCCCUCACAAACCUCUCCCUCGAUGAACGCUUCGUACUCCUCCGACGCGUCGUCAACGGAUUCCUCCACUCACAGUAGCGGCGUGUC